RNAcentral lists this ribosomal RNA (460 nucleotides) under uncultured bacterium. RNAcentral describes it as "partial 16S ribosomal RNA". It matches the Rfam family "Bacterial small subunit ribosomal RNA", at positions 338 to 795 of the family's 1533-position model. The record is from RNAcentral.
CCUACGGGAGGCAGCAGUGAGGAAUAUUGGUCAAUGGACGAGAGUCUGAACCAGCCAAGUAGCGUGAAGGAUGACUGCCCUAUGGGUUGUAAACUUCUUUUAUCUGGGAAUAAAAUGUUCCACGUGUGGGAUUUUGUAUGUACCAUAUGAAUAAGGAUCGGCUAACUCCGUGCCAGCAGCCGCGGUAAUACGGAGGAUCCGAGCGUUAUCCGGAUUUAUUGGGUUUAAAGGGAGCGUAGGUGGAUGGUUAAGUCAGUUGUGAAAGUUUGCGGCUCAACCGUAAAAUUGCAGUUGAAACUGGCAGUCUUGAGUACAGUAGAGGUGGGCGGAAUUCGUGGUGUAGCGGUGAAAUGCUUAGAUAUCACGAAGAACUCCGAUUGCGAAGGCAGUUCACUGGACUGCAACUGACACUGAGGCUCGAAAGUGUGGGUAUCAAACAGGAUUAGAUACCCCUGUAGUC